Long non-coding RNA from Spodoptera frugiperda (fall armyworm), 431 nucleotides. RefSeq lists it as uncharacterized. The transcript has 2 exons. The record is from RefSeq and is a predicted model, not a curated record. Lineage: Eukaryota; Metazoa; Arthropoda; Insecta; Lepidoptera; Noctuidae.
ACGUUGGAGUUACUCUUGAUAUUCGUAUCGACGUUACGUCACUGCACUUGUCGACGCUCACGUCUUUAUUACGGUUAUUGCUGCGAUUAGACGCGCCGGUUUAUUGUCAUUUUAUUACUUACGUCGUGUAGUAGUGUCGCACUCACUUACAUAAUACGACACAUUAAUUAGAGCUCGGCUGUGCGUCACUGACAGAGGUUGCGUGUUGCAGACCACCGCCACUUGUACAAGAGUAAGAGCAAGAAGCCGCGGGAGCCGGCCAAGUCCAAGCAGCAGCUGUCCGCGGAGAACAUCGACAAGCUGCUGAAGCUGUCGACGCGCGCCGCCGACCCGAGCCUGGCCGACAAGAUCGUGGAGCGCGCCGUCCGCCGCAAGCCGCUCGCAGACAAAGAAGAAGUGAAACCAGACGAACACAAGUCCAUACUGUUCCC